AUCAAGUCUAAAGGAAAAUACUUUGAAUUUUAAUAAAGAAGGGUGCUCAGAGAGAAGCAUUUGCAUUUUCUGAAAACCAAGAUAGACACAGAACCUUUUGAAUAAAAUAUAAUUGAAUAUUCAAAUUUGAAUCUACAACUUAGUCCAUAAAUCAUUGUUUCAAUGCUCAGUGUUUAGUUUGUGAAAUCUUCUAUCCCUCACUUCAUUUUCCCUGUUGCUACUGGUAUUUUUACCAGCAUCUUAAGUCAAAGGGGAGACAAACACAGGGAGAAGAAAAUGAUGCAAUUACAAAAUUUGACGAGUGAAAAUUGUCU
RNAcentral lists this long non-coding RNA (314 nucleotides) under Bos taurus (domestic cattle). RNAcentral describes it as "long non-coding RNA NONBTAT019623". The record is from RNAcentral. Lineage: Eukaryota; Metazoa; Chordata; Mammalia; Artiodactyla; Bovidae.